Molecule: long non-coding RNA, 867 nt
Filed under: Fukomys damarensis (Damara mole-rat)
Lineage: Eukaryota; Metazoa; Chordata; Mammalia; Rodentia; Bathyergidae
Description: lncRNA (ENSFDAG00000031047.1)
Source: RNAcentral
CUUGGGUGCAAGCAGGGAAAAAAAGGACCUCUACUAGAUGAUGACCAUGAAGGACAGAGUUCAGCUGGGGACAGUUGAAUACAGGAAAGCAACUCUGAUGAUCUGCCUCCUCUGUCCCUGAUCUGGUUUUCUUGCCAGGUUGCUGGUUUUCUGUCAUUGGAGGCAGACAGUUAUCUGUCAUUGUAGGUAGACUUCCUCAAGUGCAUGGCAGCCUUAGCUCUGGGAUCAUAAUAUCACCAUUGUGUGGAAACAGAAAAGAGGGUCUUCUUUCUCCUAGAUUUAUAAGGAUAACUCCAGAGAAUUCUGUUUGAUUAGCUCUGGUCCUGAACCCUGUUCUUGAGCAAGGAGGUGGAGACAGAGAGCGUGAAGCAGACUGGAAUGAUGACGCAUGCUCCUUUACUUUCACUUCUCCCUUGGAAAGGACGCAGACAAAAUGCCUGGAGCUCAGGGAGGUGAGGAACUCUUUCUGGUUGCGAGGGAAAACUGCUGGCUGGAAAGUGCUUUAUGGGCUGAAAGUUUCAGGACAUGCUAGAGGUUUGCUCCACAGUGCUAGUUUUACACCCUGUAGUUUUCCUUGGAAACCAUUCAUUCAUUCAUUCAAAACACACCUUACAUACUAUCUCUGUGCUGGUCAUACAGAUAACAGUGCAGUCAAAGAUUUAGGCCUGCCCUCAAGGAGCUUACAGUCAAGAAGUGAAAAGACAUGAAUGAACAGAUAAUAAAGAGGAAGUGAAGAGAUGGCUUUACGGUGCUGCUGGACGCAUGACAGCUACCAGCGUGAUCUCCAUUCCUGCCCUACUGCAAAGGAUGCCAGCCUGCUAGAGUGCUAUCCCCUCCCUUCUCCUCAUCAGCUGUCACCCAUGUCCC